UGCGAAAGUGGCGAAACUGGUAGACGCGCUAUCUUGAGGGGGUAGUGAAGCUAAGCUUCAUGGGGGUUCAAGUCCCCCCUUUCGCAUC
This 88-nucleotide transfer RNA is filed under the name Chlamydiota bacterium. Its description in RNAcentral is "Chlamydiae bacterium tRNA-Leu". It matches the Rfam family "tRNA". From Rfam's summary of the family: Transfer RNA (tRNA) molecules are approximately 80 nucleotides in length. Lineage: Bacteria; Pseudomonadati; Chlamydiota. The record is from RNAcentral.